GGCAGUGGUAGCUCAGUGGUUAAGACGUGGGACUACUGAUCGGCUGGUCAUGAGUUCAAUCCCCAGCACCCUGCCA
Molecule: non-coding RNA, 76 nt
Organism: Pangasius djambal
Lineage: Eukaryota; Metazoa; Chordata; Actinopteri; Siluriformes; Pangasiidae
Source: the annotation of a GenBank genome assembly